CUGGAAUGAAAGAAGGAACAUUGCUAACAAGAGACUGCAGGAUUCCCCUUGCGACAAUGAAGACUUCCUGGAUCACAAAGCACAAUCCUCCUAUCCUUCUGUCCAAGCUCCAGGUAUGCCAAGGAGAGGGAGUGGCAGAAGUUUAGGAUCUCAACAGUUUACCAAGAAAUUACUUCAAGAAAACAGAAAACUUUAGAAAAAACAAACUCAUGGUCCACCUUUCAUCUUUCAAAGGAGAGAGCUGAACAUUAUAGUGCACAUGAUUUUGGGAAGUUUCAGGACUGGAAGUGUGUUGGGUUCACUCUGCAAGUAGUAACCAAGACUGGUGAAAACCAGAGUGGGGCUAUACACAGGCUAUGAUGGUCCGAGCUGCUAAACCACGGGUGUAUAGCACACAGACACUCAGGGUGUGACCUGCAUGAUGGUUAAUUCAUCAUGGAGGAGCCACAUCCUUGUGAAGUUUCUCCAGGCUCGGAUGGAGGACCUGACCUUCAUCUUGCGAGACAAGAUCCCGUUGCAAAGGGAGAUUGUGUGGCAAACACAUUGCCAUGUACCUCAGGUUGUCUUUCGACAUCGCCAUGGGGCUCUGUCUCAGGCAGAGGAUGGUUAAGAAGGAACUGAGGGGCAAUCAGGUCAUGCGUGCUAGUCAAGGCGUCAACAGCACCAUGAGACAAAUACUGCGCACGCGCGGCCCUGACAGACACUGCUACCGAAAAUCUCCAAUUGACGGUGAUGGGACACAUCAACAUCUUAAGUGGAGCACCCACAGGGACAGCACUUGAAGAAGAAUUAUUUCUUAUGGACACAAUGAUUGACAGUGAUUUCCUCCCCUCCUUUUUUCACCAACUGAUUUCUUCUGAUACGGAGUUUUGUGUUCCACACUGCUUAUCUCAGAGUAUGUGUUAUACCAGUACCCAAUAAUCUGCACACCUAAUAACACAUUUUCAGGUUUAGUUCAAACUGUUAGUUUUUAGAGUCCUGCAUGGUUUGAAACCCAGUUACUUGUGAGACUGCUUCUCUCUGUGUGUGAUACUGCUAUACUAGCUAUCAGAGAAGACACGCAAGUCAGAGAUCCCUCAGUUUAAAUGAGAAACUGAUGGCAGGGCAUUCUCCAAGAAGAGACCUUACUUGUACUGCUUGGUCCACCAGUGUGUAUUGUUUGUGUUCACUACAAAGCCCAUCUUUUCUCUUGGGUAUCUAGGAGGUAGUCAGUUGAUGGGACAAGAAAUAUUGCUUUAAUGGUAAGGUUAUUAUGUGACAACUACAUUUUAUUAUACUUCUAGGCAGUUCAAUAGGUUAAACCAGUGGUCCCCAAACUGUGGGGCAUACCCCCCGAGGGGGGCAUGGAGGAACAUUCGAGGGUAGGGAGGGCGCCUGGCAGGGCCCAGGUUAGCCCCACAGGGAGUACGGAGGAAGCACCACUCUGCCCACAGUCGCAGCACCACUUUGUCCCCUGCUCUGGCCCCAGCUGCAGCUCUGCUCCAGCCCCAGUUCCACUCCACCUCCAGCUAAUCUCCAGUUCCAGCCACAGUUCCACUCUGCCCCAUCCCCAGUUCUGCCCUCAUUCUCUCUCCCUCCCUAGGCCAGCUCUGCCUCUAGCCCCAGCUUCUCCCCCAUCCCCAGUUCUGCCUCCAGCUCUGCCAUUAGCCCAAGCUCUUCUGCUGAGCCAACUGUGCAGUAAUGGAGGGAGGAUGCGGAUAGAUUCCAUUACUGGUAAGGGGUGUGUGUGCAACAGGAAAUAUUUGGGCACCUCUGGGUUAGACAUUUAAAAAAAUGUACUAAUGUUGUUUUUAUACUGAAUUUUAGACUGACAAUGAAUAACAAAAAAAAAAAAAAUAACCAAAGUGAACUCAUAUGACAAAAUGUUGAAGCCACAGUACUAUAUUGAAAAGAAAAGGAGUACUUGUGACACCUUAGAGACUAACAAAUUUAUUAGAGCAUAAGCUUUCGUGAGCUACAGCUCACUUCAUCGGAUGCAUAGAGUGGAAAAGCUCACGAAAGCUUAUGUUCUAAUAAAUUUGUUAGUCUCUAAGGUGCCACAAGAACUCCUUUUCUUUUUAUGGAUACAGACUAACACGGCUGCUACUCUGAAACCAGUACUAUAGUGGUAGUCUGUAGUGAUUUCUAUAGUUAAGUGAAUUCUAACUUCUGUAUAGGCUUCCAUUUUUCAGAUGCUCAUGUUUAUGUCCAUGUCCACGAUUUAGCUGUGCAAUACUUGGAAAUAAAAAACCCCAUACUGUUGUGGAUUCUAUUCUAUACAGAUUAUUUGAUGUCCCUCAUCAACAUAGUAAUCACUGAAGUGCUCUGAGCAACCUGACUAGUGUUUGUUCCAUGUAGUUCCUUCUUUCUCUCUUCCUCUCUCGAAGGAGAAAUUGUGUGGGUUUUUAAUAAAUAAUUUUAAUAUAUUAUAUGUGAACUCUGUGUUUAUAUUAGCAAAACGAAGUCAUGGUUUGCACUUGGAACUAAAGGUGGUGAAGUCU
Molecule: non-coding RNA, 2480 nt
Organism: Caretta caretta (loggerhead turtle)
Lineage: Eukaryota; Metazoa; Chordata; Testudines; Cheloniidae
Source: RefSeq, a predicted model, not a curated record